UUAAUUUUUGAUCAAAUAAAUGCAUCCUUUCUGAGCAGAAGAGAGUUAAUUAGUCCUUUUUAUUGGUAGUCUCUCUCUCUCACACAGACACACAGCCAUGAUCAUUUUCUUGGUGGUUUGUAUCUGUGUCAUAUUUAACAUGAGCGUCUGGUGCCAAAACGGGUCGCAGGAGUCUUGGUACUAAUGAGACCAGGUGCUACACACCUGACCCCAAACUGUCUCAGCAGUGAACAAUGAGUGUGUGUGUGUGUGUGUGUGAGAGAGAGAGAAAGAGCAGAAAAUGAUAAAGAGGAGCAUGAUUAUUGCUAUGUUAUGAGUAGCAUACUGCUGCCUUAUAAUGUUUCUGAUGUUUCUCAUUUGCCUGAAAUACCUAGGAUGACAUAUUACUACAAUACGACCAGAGCGCACAGUGCGGAGCACCGUUUCCCAGAAUGCAACUCCAUUAAUUCAUCACACUGGAAAUGAAAGGUUAGUUUGAGGAGCUAGCGGUUUCAUCUUAAAGAUGGAUCACAGGGAAAGCGCUGUGCGCAGGGGUUCUAACAUCACCAUGGGAAUCCAGCUUUUACUUGUCUUGGAAAAGGCUGUUGUUAUCAAGUGUCUAAAUGGGACUACAGAGGUUUUCGGGACACUAAACAUCAUCAGCCGAACAGGUAAACUCAUCUACUCGCUAGUUUGCUUUCACAGCUUUGCUAACUUAAAAUUACAAAAUAUUUUCUAAAUAAAGACUGAAAGAGUU
Pimephales promelas (fathead minnow) is the source of this 736-nucleotide non-coding RNA. Lineage: Eukaryota; Metazoa; Chordata; Actinopteri; Cypriniformes; Leuciscidae. The record is from RefSeq and is a predicted model, not a curated record.